GUUUUUGUGGUUACAUUUGUAAUAAUAGGGAAUAUGGUUAGAAUCCAUAGCAGCCCCCGCUACUGUAAAAGAUACGAAACUCUACUUAAUAUAUUAUUUUAUUAAGUAAUGUCACUGAGGAAUACUUGGGAAGGCAAGAGGAAUAGAUUUGAAGCUUUAAGUCAGGAUACCUGCCACAAAAAUA
RNAcentral lists this non-coding RNA (184 nucleotides) under uncultured Clostridium sp. The record is from RNAcentral. Lineage: Bacteria; Bacillati; Bacillota; Clostridia; Eubacteriales; Clostridiaceae.